GCUAUAUACAGUAGAGGCUAUAUACAGUAGAGAGGCUAUAUACAGUAGAGAGGCUAUAUACAGUAGAGAGGCUACAUACAGUAGAGAGGCUACAUACAGUAGAGAGGCUAUAUACAGUAGAGAGGCUAUAUACAGUAGAGAGGCUAUAUACAGUAGAGAGGCUAUAGACAGUAGAGAGGCUACAGACAGUAGAGAGGCUACAUACAGUAGAGAGGCUACAUACAGUAGAGAGGUUAUAUACAGUAGAGAGGAUAUAUACAGUAGAGAGGCUAUAUACAGUAGAGAGGCUAUAUACAGUAGAGAGGCUAUAUACAGUAGAGAGGCUAUAUACAGUAGAGAGGAUAUAUACAGUAGAGAGGCUAUAUACAGUAGAGAGGCUAUAUACAGUAGAGAGGCUAUAUACAGUAGAGAGGAUAUAUACAGUAGAGAGGUUAUAUACAGUAGAGGUUAUAUACAGUAGAGAGGAUAUAUACAGUAGAGAGGCUAUAUACAGUAGAGAGGCUAUAUACAGUAGAGAGGUUAUAUACAGUAGAGAGGCUAUAUACAGUAGCGAGGCUACAUACAGUAGAGGCUAUAUACAGUAGAGAGGCUAUAUACAGUAGAGAGGCUAUAUACAGUAGAGAGGCUAUAUACAGUAGAGAGGCUAUAUACAGUAGAGAAGCUAUAUACAGUAGAGAG
This 678-nucleotide long non-coding RNA is filed under the name Salmo salar (Atlantic salmon). RNAcentral describes it as "lncRNA (ENSSSAG00000115434.1)". Lineage: Eukaryota; Metazoa; Chordata; Actinopteri; Salmoniformes; Salmonidae. The record is from RNAcentral.